GAGGCGGGGCGGCGGCUACACAUGCAGUCGAGCGGAACGAUACCAGCUUGCUGGUAGGCGUCGAGCGGCGGACGGGUGAGUAAUACUUAGGAAUCUACCUAGUAGUGGGGGAUAGCUCGGGGAAACUCGAAUUAAUACCGCAUACGACCUACGGGAGAAAGGGGGCAGUUUACUGCUCUCGCUAUUAGACGAGCCUAAGUCGGAUUAGCUAGAUGGUGGGGUAAAGGCCUACCAUGGCGACGAUCUGUAGCUGGUCUGAGAGGAUGAUCAGCCACACCGGGACUGAGACACGGCCCGGACUCCUACGGGAGGCAGCAGUGGGGAAUAUUGGACAAUGGGGGAAACCCUGAUCCAGCCAUGCCGCGUGUGUGAAGAAGGCCUUUUGGUUGUAAAGCACUUUAAGCAGUGAAGAAGACUCCUCGGUUAAUACCCGUGGACGAUGACAUUAGCUGCAGAAUAAGCACCGGCUAACUCUGUGCCAGCAGCCGCGGUAAUACAGAGGGUGCAAGCGUUAAUCGGAAUUACUGGGCGUAAAGCGAGCGUAGGUGGCUUGAUAAGUCAGAUGUGAAAUCCCCGGGCUUAACCUGGGAACUGCAUCUGAAACUGUUAGGCUAGAGUAGGUGAGAGGAAGGUAGAAUUCCAGGUGUAGCGGUGAAAUGCGUAGAGAUCUGGAGGAAUACCGAUGGCGAAGGCAGCCUUCUGGCAUCAUACUGACACUGAGGCUCGAAAGCGGGGGUAGCAAACAGGAUUAGAUACCCUGGUAGUCCACGCCGUAAACGAUGUCUACUAGUCGUUGGGUCCCUUGAGGACUUAGUGACGCAGCUAACGCAAUAAGUAGACCGCCUGGGGAGUACGGCCGCAAGGUUAAAACUCAAAUGAAUUUGACGGGGGCCCGCACAAGCGGUGAGCAUGUGGUUUAAUUCGAUGCAACGCGAGACCUUACCUGGUCUGACAUAUCUAGAAUUCUGCAGAGAUGCGGAGUGCCUUCGGGAAUUAGAUACAGGUGCUGCAUGGCUGUCGUCAGCUCGUGU
This 1031-nucleotide ribosomal RNA is filed under the name uncultured bacterium. RNAcentral's name for it is "bacterial SSU rRNA". It matches the Rfam family "Bacterial small subunit ribosomal RNA", at positions 32 to 1065 of the family's 1533-position model. The record is from RNAcentral.